AUUGAACGCUGGCGGCAUGCCUUACACAUGCAAGUCGAACGGCAGCACGGGGCAACCUGGUGGCGAGUGGCGAACGGGUGAGUAAUGCAUCGGAACGUACCUUUCAGUGGGGGAUAACGUAGCGAAAGUUACGCUAAUACCGCAUAUUCUGUGAGCAGGAAAGCAGGGGAUCGCAAGACCUUGCGCUGAUUGAGCGGCCGAUGUCAGAUUAGCUAGUUGGUGAGGUAUUGGCUCACCAAGGCGACGAUCUGUAGCGGGUCUGAGAGGAUGAACCGCCAAACGGGAAGUGGGACACGGUCCAGACUCCUACGGGAGGCAGCAGUGGGGAAUUUUGGACAAUGGGGGCAACCCUGUCCCAGCCAUGCCGCGUGAGUGAAGAAGGCCUUCGGGUUGUAAAGCUCUUUCGGCCGGGAAGAAAUCGCACGGGCUAAUACCCUGUGUGGAUGACGGUACCGGAAUAAGAAGCACCGGCUAACUACGUGCCAGCCGCCGCCGUAA
This 498-nucleotide ribosomal RNA is filed under the name uncultured bacterium. RNAcentral's name for it is "partial 16S ribosomal RNA". It matches the Rfam family "Bacterial small subunit ribosomal RNA", at positions 30 to 523 of the family's 1533-position model. The record is from RNAcentral.